Molecule: non-coding RNA, 242 nt
Organism: Hydra vulgaris (swiftwater hydra)
Lineage: Eukaryota; Metazoa; Cnidaria; Hydrozoa; Anthoathecata; Hydridae
Source: RefSeq, a predicted model, not a curated record
AAAGCUUGGUAUGAUUUUUUUGCUGUAAAUUCGGUGAAGAUAAAGAUCUUAAUUUACUUCAAAGCCGAAUUAAUUCUACUUCAAUUUCCUCCAGAUUUUCAUUUAGCAAAAAAAGUAGACAAAGUUUUAGUAGUAUAAAGAAAAUUAAAAAAGAUGACACGCCUGAAAAUAGUCUUGCACUUUUGACGAUAUGGUUAGCACAGAUCCUGUUAAUGCCAACCUAGCUGACCCAAGAACGCCAC